GAGGUAGUUCUUGAAGACUUCUGGGAAAGGCUUUCUGGCUCCUAGCAGGGUAGGGGGACUCACUUACUGGUAGAUAGUGCCAUGUCUAGCUCUGAGGUCGACAAUCCUGGUGGAAACUUGUUGCUCAGGAGAGAGCUCUUCUGAGGACGAAGCUGUGGUCUUAAACAGUUGUGUGGAGGGAUAAAUUCCUGGUGAUAUUUCGUAGCUGCUGAACAAAGCAAACUUGGAACUCGGCAUCUGGAUUUCUUGGAAUCCUCCCCAUACAUCCAGUGCAAAACUGAGCAGAGUCAUCUGACAAAUCAGGCAAUGAACAGUCACUAUAGAGGUGCUGGCAACAGUCUGAUCAUCUGGGAGGAUAAUUGGGCCAAAGGCUGUUUCCCGUGGAAGACAUCUUUGUGUUUGGAGCCUUUCAGGCCUCCAGAAGAUACAGGAAGAAGAGAGCCACCUGCAAAGCAGAAGAGUUCUUACCAGAACCCCCUGUGCUGGCACCCUGACCUCAGACUUUCCAGCCCCUGGAAC
Suricata suricatta (meerkat) is the source of this 519-nucleotide long non-coding RNA. RefSeq lists it as uncharacterized. NCBI's taxonomy places the organism in Eukaryota, Metazoa, Chordata, Mammalia, Carnivora, Herpestidae. The transcript is spliced from 4 exons. The record is from RefSeq and is a predicted model, not a curated record.